This 756-nucleotide ribosomal RNA is filed under the name uncultured bacterium. Its description in RNAcentral is "bacterial SSU rRNA". It matches the Rfam family "Bacterial small subunit ribosomal RNA", at positions 8 to 796 of the family's 1533-position model. The record is from RNAcentral.
AGAGUUUGAUCAUGGCUCAGAAUCAACGCUGGCGGCGUGCCUAACACAUGCAAGUCGCACGAGAAAGGGUAGCAAUACCUGAGUAAAGUGGCGCACGGGUGAGUAACACGUGAAUUAUCUACCUCCGAGUGGGGAAUAACUGAGAGAAAUCUUAGCUAAUACCGCAUAACACUUACGAGUCAAAGCAGCAAUGCGCUUGGAGAGGAGUUCGCGGCCGAUUAGUUAGUUGGCGGGGUAAUGGCCCACCAAGACGAUGAUCGGUAUCCGGCCUGAGAGGGCGCACGGACACACUGGAACUGAAACACGGUCCAGACUCCUACGGGAGGCAGCAGUGGGGAAUUUUGCGCAAUGGGGGAAACCCUGACGCAGCAACGCCGCGUGGAGGAUGAAAUAUCUUGGUAUGUAAACUCCUUUCGAUGGGGAAGAUUAUGACGGUACCCAUAGAAGAAGCCCCGGCUAACUUCGUGCCAGCAGCCGCGGUAAUACGAGGGGGGCAAGCGUUGUUCGGAUUUAUUGGGCGUAAAGGGUGCGUAGGCGGUUUGGCAAGUCUGAUGUGAAAUCUAUGGGCUCAACCCAUAGUCUGCAUCAGAAACUGCCGGGCUUGAGUAUGGGAGAGGUGAGUGGAAUUUCCGGUGUAGCGGUGAAAUGCGUAGAUAUCGGAAGGAACACCUGUGGCGAAAGCGGCUCACUGGACCAUAACUGACGCUGAUGCACGAAAGCUAGGGGAGCAAACAGGAUUAGAUACCCUAGUAGUCC